AUUGAACGCUAGCGGGAUGCUUUACACAUGCAAGUCGAACGGCAGCGCGGACUUCGGUCUGGCGGCGAGUGGCGAACGGGUGAGUAAUGUAUCGGAACGUGCCCAGUAGCGGGGGAUAACUACUCCAAAGCGUAGCUAAUACCACAUACGCCCUACGCCGGCAAGCAGGGGAUCGUAAGACCUUGCCCUAUUGGAGCGGCCGACAUCGGAUUAGCUAGUUGGUGGGGUAAGGGCUGACCAAGGCGGCGAUCCGUAGCUGGUGUGAGAGGACGAGCGGCCACACUGGGACUGAGACAGGGACCAGACUCCUACGGGAGGCAGCAGUGGGGAAUGUUGGACAAUGGGGGCGAACCUGAUACAGCCAGCCCGCGUGUGAGAUGAAGGCCUUCGGGUUGUAAAGCACUUUUGGCAGGAAAGAAACGUCGCGGGCUAAUACCCCGUGGAACUGACGGUACCUGCAGAAUAAGCACCGGCUAACUACGUG
Molecule: ribosomal RNA, 484 nt
Filed under: uncultured bacterium
Lineage: Bacteria
Description: partial 16S ribosomal RNA
Rfam family: Bacterial small subunit ribosomal RNA
Source: RNAcentral